RNAcentral lists this ribosomal RNA (292 nucleotides) under uncultured bacterium. RNAcentral's name for it is "partial 16S ribosomal RNA". It matches the Rfam family "Bacterial small subunit ribosomal RNA", at positions 505 to 796 of the family's 1533-position model. The record is from RNAcentral.
GUGUCAGCCGCCGCGGUAAUACAGAGGUCCCAAGCGUUGUUCGGAUUCACUGGGCGUAAAGGGUGCGUAGGUGGCCGGUUAAGUCUGACGUGAAAUCUCCGAGCCUAACUCGGAAACUGCAUCGGAAACUAUCCGGCUCGAGGGUUGGAGGGGGGACUGGAAUACUUGGUGUAGCAGUGAAAUGCGUAGAUAUCAAGUGGAACACCAGUGGCGAAGGCGAGUCCCUGGACAACUCCUGACACUGAGGCACGAAAGCUAGGGGAGCAAACAGGAUUAGAAACCCUGGUAGUCC